This 345-nucleotide unclassified non-coding RNA is filed under the name soil metagenome. Its description in RNAcentral is "partial contains 5.8S ribosomal RNA, internal transcribed spacer 2, and large subunit ribosomal RNA". The stretch from base 1 to 119 matches the Rfam family "5.8S ribosomal RNA", at positions 35 to 154 of the family's 154-position model. The record is from RNAcentral.
GAUGAAGAACGUAGUGAAAUGCGAUACGUAAUGUGAAUUGCAAAUUCAGUGAAUCAUCGAGUCUUUGAACGCACAUUGCGCCCCCUGGUAUUCCGGGUGGCAUGCCUGUCCGAGCGUCAUUGCUGCCCUCAAGCACGGCUUGUGUGUUGGGCCCCGUCCUCCGAUCCCGGGGGACGGGCCCGAAAGGCAGCGGCGGCACCGCGUCCGGUCCUCGAGCGUAUGGGGCUUUGUCACCCGCUCUGUAGGCCCGGCCGGCGCUUGCCGAUCAACCCAAAUUUUUAUCCAGGUUGACCUCGGAUCAGGUAGGGAUACCCGCUGAACUUAAGCAUAUCAAUAAGCGGAGGA